RNAcentral lists this ribosomal RNA (382 nucleotides) under uncultured Streptococcus sp. Its description in RNAcentral is "bacterial SSU rRNA". It matches the Rfam family "Bacterial small subunit ribosomal RNA", at positions 1004 to 1382 of the family's 1533-position model. The record is from RNAcentral. Lineage: Bacteria; Bacillati; Bacillota; Bacilli; Lactobacillales; Streptococcaceae.
AGAUAGAAAGUUACUUCGGUACAUCGGUGACAGGUGGUGCAUGGUUGUCGUCAGCUCGUGUCGUGAGAUGUUGGGUUAAGUCCCGCAACGAGCGCAACCCCUAUUGUUAGUUGCCCAUCAUUCAGUUGGGCACUCGUAGCGAGGACUGCCGGUAAUAAACCGGAGGAAAGGUGGGGAUGGACGUCAAAUCAUCAUGCCCCUUAUGACCUGGGCUACACACGUGCUACAAUGGUUGGUACAACGAGUUGCGAGUCGGUGACGGCGAGCUAAUCUCUUAAAGCCAAAUCUUAGUUCGGAUUGUAGGCUGCAACUCGCCUACAUGAAGUCGGAAUCGCUAGUAAUCGCGGAUCAGCACGCCGCGGUGAAUACGUUCCCGGGCCUU